This is a long non-coding RNA of Saccostrea cuccullata (small rock oyster), 246 nucleotides long. RefSeq lists it as uncharacterized. The record is from RefSeq and is a predicted model, not a curated record. Lineage: Eukaryota; Metazoa; Mollusca; Bivalvia; Ostreida; Ostreidae. The transcript has 3 exons.
AAGGCUGAGAGGAUUUUAACUGUUUCCUUCAAAAUGUCUACUGUUCCCUCCAAGAUGUCUUUGAAAUAGAGAUCGAGAGAUACAUGUAGUGGUGUGGUAGUCCCCGACCAAUCCCCAUUGCAAUGUAUCAGUGCAGCCCUUGCAAGAUUUUCCUAAUAAAGAUUCUCAGGAUUACAGAUCCUCUAGCAAGGAGACCAGACAGAUAGAAAUGACCAGAGCAGAGGACACACAGCCCCCCCCCCCCCC